GCCAGGUGCAAUGGCACCUGCCUGUAGUCCCAGCAUUUGGGAGGCUGAGGCUGGAGGAUCACUUGAUCCAGGAGUUCUGGGCUGUAGUGCACUAUGCUGAUGUGGUUGUCCGCACUAAGUUCGGCAUCAAUAUGGUGACCUCCCGGGAGCGGGGGACCACCAGGUUGCCUAAGGAGGGGUGAACUGGCACAGGUAGGAAAUGGAGCAGGUCAAAACUCCUGUGCUCAUCAGUAGUGGGAUCGUGCCUGUGAAUAGCCAGCCACUGCACUCCAGCCUGGACAACAUAGCAAGACCCCGUCUCU
RNAcentral lists this signal recognition particle RNA (302 nucleotides) under Saimiri boliviensis boliviensis (Bolivian squirrel monkey). RNAcentral's name for it is "Metazoan signal recognition particle RNA (ENSSBOG00000008709.1)". It matches the Rfam family "Metazoan signal recognition particle RNA". Rfam says of the family: The signal recognition particle (SRP) is a universally conserved ribonucleoprotein. The record is from RNAcentral. Lineage: Eukaryota; Metazoa; Chordata; Mammalia; Primates; Cebidae.